AGACUUCACAUCGAUUAUAAUGUAUUUGAAGGAAUGUUUUUUCUUAAUUUUGUUCUCAUUCAUAUUGGUCCUAUUUAUAUUAUUAAGGGCGAAGCAACCCGAAUGUUGCACCCUAGAUGGCGAAAGUUCAGUAGUUGAACGCAUCACUAGCUUAGGCUCUGACUCGAGUAACAUGAGGUACGUGGAAUCUCGUGUGAAUCAGCAAGGACCACCUUGCAAGUCU
Non-coding RNA from Capsicum annuum, 223 nucleotides. Lineage: Eukaryota; Viridiplantae; Streptophyta; Magnoliopsida; Solanales; Solanaceae. The record is from Rfam.